UGUUUCAAUAUUGAUAUGUCUGUGCGUGAUACCAUUUUGCAGCAGUUAGCAGACAACUUAAGAACUAACCAAUAUGCUGGGGAAGGUGGAGAAUUAUGGACCAAUGCUUAAGUAAUCCAUCUUCCAGAUUUCUUGUCAUGUAAGAUUUCAGUGACUUGCCCCAAUGCCAUCAGGAUCCUCUGUGACCUAGCUACCCAGCAGAGUCUCUCCAUGGAGGAAUGGUCCUAGGUGAUGGUACCCAGGUGUCUGGUCAAGCAAGACUGCCUUAACCAUUGCUGCAAGAAUGUUUGUGGCUACUUGAUAAACCAGAAAGCUGGUUUGUUAAAUCAUCAGUCAAUUGGCUGCAGCUGUGACUGGUUACAUCAACAAAGGGCGUGUCUUCCACAAUGAGAGA
Long non-coding RNA from Choloepus didactylus (southern two-toed sloth), 394 nucleotides. RefSeq lists it as uncharacterized. Lineage: Eukaryota; Metazoa; Chordata; Mammalia; Pilosa; Megalonychidae. The record is from RefSeq and is a predicted model, not a curated record. The transcript has 3 exons.